This 41-nucleotide transfer RNA is filed under the name Balaenoptera musculus (blue whale). Its description in RNAcentral is "partial tRNA-Phe". Lineage: Eukaryota; Metazoa; Chordata; Mammalia; Artiodactyla; Balaenopteridae. The record is from RNAcentral.
GUUAAUGUAGCUUAAACACUCAUAAAGCAAGACACUGAAAA